GCUGAUUCCACAGGCACUGCCCCCUUGAGAGGCCCAGCAAAUUAAGAAAUUAUGGUUAGUUUCUGAGAUGAGACAUGUGAGAGCUAGUGGGUGGAGAAAAUGGCUUACAAGUGGAAGACCAGGAGGUCUUCUGAGCCUUCUGCCUGGAGUGAGGAACCUGAAUGAACUAUUGUUGGUGGGUAUAUAUCUAAGACCAAUUAUCACUGGGUCAAAAAGUAUACAGAGUUUAAUGAUUGUCAGCUAUGGUAGAGGCAUGGAGAGAGAGAGGACUUGUAAGCCAAGAUGCAAGAAACAAGCUGGGGAACCUAACCUGGCCUGUCAGUCAAGGAGAAGGAUUCAAAUGGAAUGUUACCAGGAGUUGGCAGUUGGGGUUUUCUGGCCACAGAGGAGGAAGAAAAAACUUGGCUUUGACUUCAUCUCUGUCUCUCUGGCAGUUGAAGCUGACCAGGGGAGAAACCUGGGACUUUGGUUUCUCUGAGAGACCUUGCCAAUUUUAAGCUGAGAGACCUUGCUAACUUUGUGAAGAAGAAAGAAGAGUUUAAACAGUGGUUGUCCUCCAUCUCUCUAACUGUCUUAGAGUCACAGUUUGUGACUGGACGACUUUCUCAAACCCUCAAUUCUCCCUCAUUUUAGAUUAGGGACAUCCUCAUCUCUCUUACCUCAGUUUCCUAUCCUAUUAUCCCAAUAAACCCCUUGACUUGAAAAAGGAAAAGAAAAGA
RNAcentral lists this long non-coding RNA (719 nucleotides) under Monodelphis domestica (gray short-tailed opossum). RNAcentral's name for it is "lncRNA (ENSMODG00000043317.1)". Lineage: Eukaryota; Metazoa; Chordata; Mammalia; Didelphimorphia; Didelphidae. The record is from RNAcentral.